AAUGGUUAAAUAUGUAUUUCAUCCUUGCAAUUAGGGGUCGUUUAAAAAUUGGUCCUUAUAUUUGUUAAUCCUGACAAUUUACCCCUAAUUGCAAGAAUGAAAUACAUAUUUAAGUCUAUA
RNAcentral lists this microRNA precursor (120 nucleotides) under Medicago truncatula (barrel medic). RNAcentral's name for it is "miR2668 stem-loop (mtr-MIR2668)". The record is from miRBase by way of RNAcentral. Lineage: Eukaryota; Viridiplantae; Streptophyta; Magnoliopsida; Fabales; Fabaceae.